This 287-nucleotide long non-coding RNA is filed under the name Ananas comosus (pineapple). RNAcentral describes it as "long non-coding RNA (ACOM_LNC029075)". Lineage: Eukaryota; Viridiplantae; Streptophyta; Magnoliopsida; Poales; Bromeliaceae. The record is from RNAcentral.
AGCGAAAUAGAUAUAUUUUAUAUCAAAUAAAUCUAUUUUGAGGUCCAAUACAACCUAAUUCUAACCGAAUUAACCCUAACCCUAACCAAACCCGCUCCACCCCACUGCACCCCUACCCAGCGAACGCCUCAGCCUCGCGAGGACCCCUUCUCUCCUCACGAUCCCUCCCCUCUUCCCCCUUUGAGCUCGAGCUCUCCCUCUCUCCUUUACCUCUACUCAUUUCCCUCUCCCUCUUCCUUAGAAUCUCCUCCAAGCUUUGAUCCCAUUCCAGAAUCGCCCUCGCUUUU